Cucurbita moschata (crookneck pumpkin) is the source of this 2421-nucleotide RNA transcript. It is a transcript of the gene named beta-(1,2)-xylosyltransferase, with no coding region annotated. The record is from RefSeq and is a predicted model, not a curated record. The transcript is spliced from 4 exons. NCBI's taxonomy places the organism in Eukaryota, Viridiplantae, Streptophyta, Magnoliopsida, Cucurbitales, Cucurbitaceae.
AGAGAGAGUUUUAGAGAGAGAAAAGCUUGGAAAGGUAAAACCAAUCUUCUUCUUCUCUCUCUCUUGUCUCUUUCAGAAAGAGAUGAACAAUUCUAUCUCUCUCUGAGAAUCCAUGGAAAAAAAAUGCUCACACGCAGAGAUUGAGUGAAACCCAAGCCAUGGGAAUGGAUUUCAGAAGCUUUUGAAAGCAUACAGAAAUCAUUGUUGCUUCAUUUGAUUCUCUCUCUCUCUCUCUCUCUCUUGAUCUUUUUCAGCCAUUUCCGCCAUGAACGGCAAAACCCAAGCUCUGUUACUGAAGAUCCUCUUCCUUCUCUUCGCCUUCAACACCCUAACUCUCUGCAUUUACUUCACUGCCCAUUACAAAACAUCCUCGUCUAGUUCCUCUCACCGGAAACCCACAUCGGAAAACCGCUUCCCCUUCCCGGAAAACCGACGUUCUUCCAAGCCCUGGCCCAUUUUGCCUUCUUAUCUUCCUUGGUCUCACUCAUCCACUGUCCCUCUGCGUUCCUGUGAGGCUUAUUUCGGCAAUGGCUUCAACCGCCGUGUAGAUCUUUUAAAACCUAACCUCGCCGGGAAACUCGCCGGAUGGUUCCGAUGCUGGUAUAGCGAGACUCUGGCGAGUUCGAUAUGCGAGGGAGCGAGAGUCCGAAUGUGGCCGGAGAGGAUUUCCAUGUCCCGAGGAGGCGAGAGGAUUGAAGAAGUGAUCGGAAGGAAGGAAGAGACGGAGUUGCCCAAAUUUCGGAACGGCGCUUUUGAACUAGACGGCGGCGAUACCGUCGCGAGCAAGGAGAGGGUUCUAGCGGAUGAGAAAUUUCUUAAUGGAUUCGUUCCGGCAGGGGAGAUUCAGAGCCACACCAUGCGCGCAUUGUUUGGAUCAUUCCGAGUUGUUUCUGGGAAUGAUUUCGAUUGCCAAGAGUGGAUUGAGGAGCCUGUGCUUCUGGUGACGAGGUUUGAGUAUGCAAAUCUUUUUCACACUAUUACGGAUUGGUAUAGUGCUUAUGUGAGUUCGAGAGUCGUCGGAUUGCCUAAUCGACCUCAUCUCGUCUUUGUCGACGGGCAUUGUAAGACACCUUUGGAAGAGACAUGGAAGGCAUUGUUUUCAAGUCUUAAAUACGCGAAAAAUUUCAGCGCACCGGUUUGUUUUCGCCACGUGAUCUUCUCACCUCUCGGGUACGAAACUGCGCUAUUCAAGGGUCUAACCGAGGGGAUCAAUUGUCAUGGAGGUUCUUCUCAUGAGCUAUGGCUAAAACCUGAUGUCCAGAAAACUGCUAGAUUAUCUGAGUUUGGUGAAAUGGUUAGAGCAGCUUUUGGUUUCCCAGUCGACAGACAAGUCGAAAGACCGCCCUCAAUCCACAACGUUCUCUUUGUGCGUCGUGAGGAUUAUUUAGCGCAUCCUCGACACGGUGGUCGAGUUGAAUCCAGACUUACUAAUGAACAAGAAAUCUUUGAUUCUUUGCAGAACUGGGCAUCAAAUCACAGGGAGUGUAAAGUAAACUUAGUGAACGGGUUAUUUGCGCAUAUGUCGAUGAAAGAACAACUCCGAGCCAUCCAAGAUGCGUCGGUCAUUAUCGGAGCACACGGUGCAGGCCUUACUCACAUAAUAUCUGCCUUACCAAAAACUGUCAUCUUGGAAAUCAUCAGUAGUUUGUUUAGAAGGCCUCAUUUUGCAUUGAUUGCUCAAUGGAAAGGCUUGGAAUACCAUGCCAUUAAUCUCUCGGGAUCACACGCUGACCCGAACGUCGUUAUCGAGCACCUUUUGCGCAUCAUGACGAGCCUCGGUUGCUAACUUUUUUGCAGUUUCUCACAUUAAUCUCUCUUAACUAGGAGAGGGAACACCAGCCCUCUGUAUCUACUUACACACUUGGCUGGAUGCUCCCAUUUUGACAAGCUUUGAGUUUGAAGAUACUAACUUGCCAUGGACAUGGCUUGAAGUAAGGGCUUACCGACCGAGCUCGACGACGAUGGAAACUCGGGAUAUCUAAGCUACAUGGAACAGAAGAGGUCUGUGUUUGUUUGGUUCUUUCUCCAAGAAGGAAAAUCCACUGAACUUUCCUUCUCUAAUUGGGCAACAACAUUGAGUGGAAGACGAUUAGGAUCUCUCGUGCGACAACUGUUGGAACAAACUCAGAAUCCAAGAGGUACCUAAAGAAAAAGGAAACUCGCCACUGUUUCAGUUGACGAGAAGGAAACGACUUUCACCGGGAGUACACGACGAUCAAACAAUUGUGAAGGCUAGCAAUAAGGCGGGAUCGAGGAUCGUCAAAGGAAAAUGACUACAAGAGUUGCUUAUUGCAACAAGGGAACAAAACGCGAGACAUGAGGGAAAGAGAUCGAGGGAGCUAAGGAAGGUUUGUCACCCAUUAGUUCGACCAGCCUAACAAGCCUAAUCAACUUUAAUACGACAAAUAAGGAUUUAACAGA